This is a long non-coding RNA of Carassius auratus (goldfish), 741 nucleotides long. RefSeq lists it as uncharacterized. The transcript has 3 exons. Lineage: Eukaryota; Metazoa; Chordata; Actinopteri; Cypriniformes; Cyprinidae. The record is from RefSeq and is a predicted model, not a curated record.
AAGUAGGGCCAAAUAAAACCCUAUUUGCAUGUUUUCCUGCUGCUCUCAGUAUUUGCAUUGCGAUAAUAGAAAUGCUCUGUUGUGAAACAACUAGGCUAUUUGCAUGGUAGCUUCUCGAAAUAUUCUCGCCCGACAGGUUCAUCUCCAUGCUUCUCUCUGCAUUGAAACACUCUGUUCGUUUUUACGAUUCAAAAAGGUUUGAAAACAUUUUAAACACUGAAAGGAAUCUGCUUUAAUUGUACUGUGAUCAACGAACAGGGAAGUGUUGUUGUAAACCCCCUUCACUGCAUGAUCUCUGAAUAAUUCUCAUCACUCUUUAUUGAGUUUUCGUCUAUGAUUCGGGAAGCAUGCAGGAUACAAUGGGGCGUAAUGCAGCAUUCCUGUUCUUCUGGGGAAUCUUGACAAUAACCCCAGACCCUUUAUUAGCAUUCCCUGAUGUAUCUUCCAUUACAUCACAUUCCACAGUAACAACAACACAACAGCUUGAGUCAUCAGACCAUACCCAAGUCUCCAUCUCAUCAAAUGAAUCAACAAUUACAAAUAUUUCCUCUACAACAACACCAGAAAUAAGUUCAUCCAUUUUCACCACAACAUCACAACCAAAUUAUCUCACAACCACAAGUGCAACCGAGUCUUACUUCACCAUUCAAACAACUACACAACAGAAGAACACUUCUUUCAAUGACACUUCUGACUCAAUAUCAAACCACCAAAGCAUUGCCACUCAAACACUGGAGCCCU